UGAGCUUGCUCCUAAAGCUAAGGUGUCUAGCUGAUAAUUAGAUUAUUAAGGGUUAAAUUCCCUUCAAGCUCUA
RNAcentral lists this transfer RNA (73 nucleotides) under Mesocentrotus franciscanus. RNAcentral describes it as "tRNA-Ile". It matches the Rfam family "tRNA". Rfam says of the family: Transfer RNA (tRNA) molecules are approximately 80 nucleotides in length. Their secondary structure includes four short double-helical elements and three loops (D, anti-codon, and T loops). The record is from RNAcentral. Lineage: Eukaryota; Metazoa; Echinodermata; Echinoidea; Camarodonta; Strongylocentrotidae.